UACGUAGGGUGCAAGCGUUGUCCGGAAUUAUUGGGCGUAAAGAGCGCGCAGGCGGUCGUUCAAGUCGCGUGUGAAAGCCCCCGGCUCAACUGGGGAGGGUCACGCGAUACUGAUCGACUGGAAGGCAGGAGAGGGUAGUGGAAUUCCCGGUGUAGUGGUGAAAUGCGUAGAUAUUGGGAAGAACACCGGUGGCGUAGGCGACUAGCUGGGCUGUAACUGACGCUGAGGAACGAAAGCCAGGGGAGCGAAUGGG
This 253-nucleotide ribosomal RNA is filed under the name uncultured bacterium. RNAcentral's name for it is "partial 16S ribosomal RNA". It matches the Rfam family "Bacterial small subunit ribosomal RNA", at positions 524 to 776 of the family's 1533-position model. The record is from RNAcentral.